UACGUAGGUGGCAAGCGUUGUCCGGAAUUAUUGGGCGUAAAGAGCUUGUAGGCGGUUUGUCGCGUCUGCUGUGAAAAUCCGGGGCUCAACCCCGGACUUGCAGUGGGUACGGGCAGGCUAGAGUGUGGUAGGGGAGACUGGAAUUCCUGGUGUAGCGGUGGAAUGCGCAGAUAUCAGGAGGAACACCGAUGGCGAAGGCAGGUCUCUGGGCCACUACUGACGCUGAGAAGCGAAAGCAUGGGGAGCGAACAGG
This 253-nucleotide ribosomal RNA is filed under the name uncultured bacterium. RNAcentral's name for it is "partial 16S ribosomal RNA". It matches the Rfam family "Bacterial small subunit ribosomal RNA", at positions 524 to 776 of the family's 1533-position model. The record is from RNAcentral.